UGGGGAAUAUUGCACAAUGGGCGAAAGCCUGAUGCAGCAACGCCGCGUGAGUGAUGAAGGCCUUCGGGUUGUAAAGCUCUGUCUUUUGGGACGAUAAUGACGGUACCAAAGGAGGAAGCCACGGCUAACUACGUGCCAGCAGCCGCGGUAAUACGUAGGUGGCAAGCGUUGUCCGGAUUUACUGGGCGUAAAGGAUGCGUAGGCGGAUUUUUAAGUGAGAUGUGAAAUACCCGGGCUUAACUUGGGUGCUGCAUUUCAAACUGGGAAUCUAGAGUGCGGGAGAGGAGAAUGGAAUUCCUAGUGUAGCGGUGAAAGUGCGUAGAGAUUAGGAAGAACACCAGUGGCGAAGGCGAUUCUCUGGACCGUAACUGACGCUGAGGCAUGAAAGCGUGGGUAGCAAACAGGAUUAGAUACCCUGGUAGUCCACGCCGUAAACGAUGAGUACUAGGUGUAGGAGGUAUCGACCCCUUCUGUGCCGCAGUUAACACAAUCAAGUACUCCGCCUGGGAAGUACGAUCGCAAGAUUAAAACUCAAAGGAAUUGAC
This 545-nucleotide ribosomal RNA is filed under the name uncultured bacterium. RNAcentral's name for it is "partial 16S ribosomal RNA". It matches the Rfam family "Bacterial small subunit ribosomal RNA", at positions 355 to 914 of the family's 1533-position model. The record is from RNAcentral.